GGGACGAUGAUGAUGACCUAAAUUGUCUGAAGAAAGGUGAUGAAUAAAAAAUCUUACCCAGAGGAUUGAGCUGAGGCCC
Nycticebus coucang (slow loris) is the source of this 79-nucleotide small nucleolar RNA. RefSeq annotates it as small nucleolar RNA SNORD115. Lineage: Eukaryota; Metazoa; Chordata; Mammalia; Primates; Lorisidae. The record is from RefSeq and is a predicted model, not a curated record. The transcript has a single exon.